GAAUCUCACCAGAAGUAGGCUAGUCCGUUAUCAAAAGGUCAUUUUUUAAUAGUGUAGCAAUGAAUAUAUUUCACACAUAAUUCACUUUCAAACAAGCUUUCUUUUGGGCAACCCAUGCUAAAUCAGCGUGAAAAUCUCUUAAUUAGCAUGUUCAUUUUCGCGGAUUCCGAAUGACUGGCAAAAAUCACCUACCAAGUGAACUUUGGCAAAGCGCUCUAUGGAUGCUGGCUGGAGUCGCUCCUCUCGGGCACUGUUGGUUGGCAAGCGUUGAGGAUGCGAAAGAACAGCAAGGUGACUGUUUAAGGAUG
Non-coding RNA from Pimephales promelas (fathead minnow), 308 nucleotides. NCBI's taxonomy places the organism in Eukaryota, Metazoa, Chordata, Actinopteri, Cypriniformes, Leuciscidae. The record is from RefSeq and is a predicted model, not a curated record.